GUGCUUCUUCCGGUCUUUUCCAAGCUCAGCCGAGAAGCGAGGCAGCUGCAUGCUGUGAGAAGAGAACAAAAACGGUAGAAAACCUGUGAAAAGGGAGAAUAAAGAGGGUCGGAACACAUCCACUGGAGGCACGGAGCCGUGUGACUGAACAAAGGACUAACGUUACGUCGGCUAAUUGUUUACCCUUCGUCUGGAGAGCUGUUACGAAGCGUGAUACCAGCGUGUUCCGCCUUGAUAUUCACGGAGCAACGGUCAGGUUUUUUUUAGUUGAGAGCAAUUCGACUGUGGUCCAGGACAACCUUCUGGCUGAAACCGAUGGCAAGCCAAGUUCCCUGAAGAAAGUCAAGCACCAGGAUAUACACGUACCCAUUCAUACUCUCAUUGAACAGUUAGAUUACAAUACAAGGAACCUUGGAAUUUGAACUGAACUGCGGUAACUCUGAAACAGAGCACCUGAAGAGAACUUUCCAUUUUAUUUUUAAGGGCCCAGGGACAAUAUUUUAUUUUUCUAGUGUGCACACUACCUUUUUUUCUAAUUGUUUGGGGUAUUUUGUACUUUGUAAACAAUAUAAGAGUGGCUACUCAACUUUCA
This is a long non-coding RNA of Neoarius graeffei (lesser salmon catfish), 592 nucleotides long. RefSeq lists it as uncharacterized. The record is from RefSeq and is a predicted model, not a curated record. The transcript has 3 exons. NCBI's taxonomy places the organism in Eukaryota, Metazoa, Chordata, Actinopteri, Siluriformes, Ariidae.